AUGGACGGGAAUAACCUCGGGAAACUGAGAAUCCCGCCCGAUAGAACAUUAUGCCUGGAAUGGUUUAUGUUCCAAAUGAUUUAUCGCCGUAGGAUGGGACUGCGGCCUAUCAGUUUGUUGGUGAGGUAAUGGCCCACCAAGACUAUUACAGGUACGGGCUCUGAGAGGAGUAGCCCGGAGAUGGGUACUGAGACACGGACCCAGGCCCUAUGGGGCGCAGCAGGCGAGAAAACUUUGCAAUGUGCGAAAGCACGACAAGGUUAAUCCGAGUGGUUUCUGCUAAAGAAACCUUUUGUCAGUCCUAGAAACACUGAUGAAUAAGGGGUGGGCAAGUUCUGGUGUCAGCCGCCGCGGUAAAACCAGCACCUCAAGUGGUCAGGAUGAUUAUUGGGCCUAAAGCAUCCGUAGCCGGCUCUGUAAGUUUUCGGUUAAAUCUGUACGCUCAACGUACAGGCUGCCGGGAAUACUGCAGAGCUAGGGAGUGAGAGAGGUAGACGGUACUCGGUAGGAAGGGGUAAAAUCCUUUGAUCUAUUGA
RNAcentral lists this ribosomal RNA (536 nucleotides) under uncultured crenarchaeote. Its description in RNAcentral is "bacterial SSU rRNA". It matches the Rfam family "Archaeal small subunit ribosomal RNA", at positions 116 to 653 of the family's 1478-position model. Lineage: Archaea; Thermoproteati; Thermoproteota. The record is from RNAcentral.